UGGCUCAGUGGUUAGAGCACUGGCUGCUCUUCCAGAGGUCCUGGGUUCAAAUCCCAG
Molecule: non-coding RNA, 57 nt
Organism: Rattus norvegicus (Norway rat)
Lineage: Eukaryota; Metazoa; Chordata; Mammalia; Rodentia; Muridae
Source: Rfam